RNAcentral lists this ribosomal RNA (375 nucleotides) under Triticum aestivum (bread wheat). RNAcentral describes it as "partial small subunit ribosomal RNA". The record is from RNAcentral. Lineage: Eukaryota; Viridiplantae; Streptophyta; Magnoliopsida; Poales; Poaceae.
GUAGCUAUUGCUAGUGUUGAAAAGGUAUUCUCUUCAAUGAACUAUGUGAAGAAUAAGCUAAGGAAUAAAAUGGGUGAUGAUUAUUUGAACAAUUGUUUGGUUACAUUCAUUGAAAGAGAAUUUUUCAAUCAAGUGAAAGAUGAAGAUGUCAUCAAUGUGUUCCAAAAAAGGCAACCGCGGAGUUAUAUUGUAAGAAGGAUAUCAUCACUUUAUCAAUCAAAAGGUACUUAUGUAUUUAUGUCGUUAUGGUCUGAUACGUUGAAAUAUUGCUAUUGCCAUUAUGCUAGUGUUGUUUUGUUCAUAUAUUACUACUGUUGUGUUGUUUGGUUCAUAUAUAUAUAUACUACAUUUAGAGCAAAAAUAAUUUUUGAAUGA